CUCGUAGGCGGCCAACUAAGUCAGACGUGAAAUCCCUCGGCUUAACCGGGGAACUGCCUCUGAUACUGGAUGGCUUGGGGUUGGGAGAGGGAUGCGGAAUUCCAGGUGUAGCGGUGAAAUGCGUAGAUAUCUGGAGGAACACCGGUGGCGAAGGCGGCAUCCUGGACCAAAUCUGACGCUGAGGAGCGAAAGCCAGGGGAGCAAACGGGAUUAGAUACCCCGGUAGUCCUGGCCCUAAACGAUGAAUGCUUGGUGUGGCGGGUAUCGAUCCCUGCCGUGCCGAAGCUAACGCAUUAAGCAUUCCGCCUGGGGAGUACGGUCGCAAGGCUGAA
Molecule: ribosomal RNA, 332 nt
Filed under: uncultured bacterium
Lineage: Bacteria
Description: bacterial SSU rRNA
Rfam family: Bacterial small subunit ribosomal RNA
Source: RNAcentral